RNAcentral lists this ribosomal RNA (468 nucleotides) under uncultured bacterium. RNAcentral's name for it is "partial 16S ribosomal RNA". It matches the Rfam family "Bacterial small subunit ribosomal RNA", at positions 28 to 507 of the family's 1533-position model. The record is from RNAcentral.
GACGAACGCUGGCGGCGUGCUUAACACAUGCAAGUCGAACGGAAAGGCCCUGCUUUUGUGGGGUGCUCGAGUGGCGAACGGGUGAGUAACACGUGAGUAACCUGCCCUUGACUUUGGGAUAACUUCAGGAAACUGGGGCUAAUACCGGAUAGGAGCUCCUGCUGCAUGGUGGGGGUUGGAAAGUUUCGGCGGUUGGGGAUGGACUCGCGGCUUAUCAGCUUGUUGGUGGGGUAGUGGCUGACCAAGGCUUUGACGGGUAGCCGGCCUGAGAGGGUGACCGGCCACAUUGGGACUGCGAUACGGCCCAGACUCCUACGGGAGGCAGCAGUGGGGAAUCUUGCACAAUGGGCGGAAGCCUGAUGCAGCAACGCCGCGUGCGGGAUGACGGCCUUCGGGUUGUAAACCGCUUUCGCCUGUGACGAAGCGUGAGUGACGGUAAUGGGUAAAGAAGCACCGGCUAACUACGUG